AACGAACGCUGGCGGCGUGCCUAACACAUGCAAGUCGAACGCGAAAGUUCCUUCGGGAAUGAGUAGAGUGGCGCACGGGUGAGUAACACGUGGGUAACCUGCCCUAAGGCCUGGAAUAACUCGGGGAAACCCAAGCUAAUACCGGAUAAGACCACGUCAUGAGAAUGACGUGGUAAAAGGAGGGGAGUUCUUCGGAACCCUUUCACCAAAGGAUGAGCCCGCGUCCCAUCAGCUAGUUGGUAGGGUAAAAGCCUACCAAGGCUAAGACGGGUAGCUGGUCUGAGAGGAUGAUCAGCCACACUGGAACUGAGAUACGGUCCAGACUCCUACGGGAGGCAGCAGUGGGGAAUCUUGCGCAAUGGGCGAAAGCCUGACGCAGCAACGCCGUGUGAGUGAUGAAGGCCUUCGGGUCGUAAAGCUCUGUCGGCAGGAACGAUGGUUUGCCAGACUAAUAAUCUGGUAGAUUGACGGUACCUGCAAAGGAAGCACCGGCUAACUCUGUGCCAGCCGCCGCCGUAA
RNAcentral lists this ribosomal RNA (519 nucleotides) under uncultured bacterium. RNAcentral's name for it is "partial 16S ribosomal RNA". It matches the Rfam family "Bacterial small subunit ribosomal RNA", at positions 29 to 523 of the family's 1533-position model. The record is from RNAcentral.